GAGUUUGAUCUUGGCUCAGAUUGAACGCUGGCGGCAGGCUUAACACAUGCAAGUCGAGCGGGGGAGAUUGCUUCGGUAAUUGACCUAGCGGCGGACGGGUGAGUAAUACUUAGGAAUCUGCCUAUUAAUGGGGGACAACAUCUCGAAAGGGAUGCUAAUACCGCAUACGCCCUACGGGGGAAAGCAGGGGAUCACUUGUGACCUUGCGUUAAUAGAUGAGCCUAAGUCGGAUUAGCUAGUUGGUGGGGUAAAGGCCUACCAAGGCGACGAUCUGUAGCGGGUCUGAGAGGAUGAUCCGCCACACUGGGACUGAGACACGGCCCAGACUCCUACGGGAGGCAGCAGUGGGGAAUAUUGGACAAUGGGGGGAACCCUGAUCCAGCCAUGCCGCGUGUGUGAAGAAGGCCUUAUGGUUGUAAAGCACUUUAAGCGAGGAGGAGGCUCUUCUAGUUAAUACCUAGGAUGAGUGGACGUUACUCGCAGAAUAAGCACCGGCUAACUCUGUGCCAGCCGCCGCCGU
This 520-nucleotide ribosomal RNA is filed under the name uncultured microorganism. Its description in RNAcentral is "bacterial SSU rRNA". It matches the Rfam family "Bacterial small subunit ribosomal RNA", at positions 9 to 521 of the family's 1533-position model. The record is from RNAcentral.